GAAAAAUGUCAGAGAAGGUAGGA
This 23-nucleotide non-coding RNA is filed under the name Cricetulus griseus (Chinese hamster). The record is from RNAcentral. Lineage: Eukaryota; Metazoa; Chordata; Mammalia; Rodentia; Cricetidae.